GGGAGGGCUCGAUUUCGAAACUGGGGAAACCCAGUGCACGAAGCAGGAGAUUGGAAACUUCUCAGCGGGAGCCUUGAAAUGGGGUCGCGAUGUGGGGGGACACCCCCGUGCCGGACGGGUGUUCUCUGGUGUUGUAAUAUGGCGCUGAGGAGGGAUAAGGGGGGGGGGGGCGCAACAGGAUUUUAUACCCUUUGUAGUGCCCCCCCCAAACGAUGAGUGUUAAAAUGUUAGGGUGUUUUCGCCCCUUAGUGGGGGGAGGUAACGCAUUAAGCCCUCCGCCUGGGGAGUACGGUUGCAAGGCUGAAACUCAAAGGAAAUGACGGGGGCCCGCACAAGCGGUGGAUCAUGUGGUUUAAUUUGAAGCAACGCGAAGAACCUUACCAGGUCGUGACAUCCUUUGACAAUCCUAGAGAUAGGACGUCCCCUUCGGGGGCAGAGUGACAGGUGGUGCAUGGUUGUCGUCAGCUUGUGUUGUGAGAUGUUGGGUUAAGUCCCGCAACGAGCGCAACCCUUGAUUUUAGUUGCCAGCAUUCAGUUGGGCACUUUAAGGUGACUGCCGGUGACAAACCGGAGGAAGGUGGGGAUGACGUCAAAUCAUCAUGCCCCUUAUGACCUGGGCUACACACGUGCUACAAUGGACAGAACAAAGGGCAGCGAAACCGCGAGGUUAAGCCAAUCCCACAAAUCUGUUUUCAGUUUGGAUCGCAGUUUGCAAAUUGACUGCCUGAAGCUGGAAUCGCUAGUAAUCGCGGAUCAGCAUGCCGCGGUGAAUACGUUUCCGGGCCUUGUACCCCCCCCCCGUCACCCCCCGAGAGUUUGUAACCCCCGAAGUCGGUGAGGUAACCUUUUAGGAGCCAGCCGCC
RNAcentral lists this ribosomal RNA (863 nucleotides) under Bacillus subtilis. RNAcentral describes it as "partial 16S ribosomal RNA". It matches the Rfam family "Bacterial small subunit ribosomal RNA", at positions 613 to 1457 of the family's 1533-position model. Lineage: Bacteria; Bacillati; Bacillota; Bacilli; Caryophanales; Bacillaceae. The record is from RNAcentral.